Molecule: unclassified non-coding RNA, 272 nt
Filed under: Hevea brasiliensis (rubber tree)
Lineage: Eukaryota; Viridiplantae; Streptophyta; Magnoliopsida; Malpighiales; Euphorbiaceae
Source: RNAcentral
GUUCACUUAUCUAUGGGUCGGAAACUCGGCAACCCAAUGCCCGGGCCAGUGUGCCUGGCCCUUCCACCAGCCCAUGUACGGCCCACAGGGCCCGCCCUUGGUGGCGCCUAACGGCGACGUCGGAGUUGACGGCAUGAUCAUCAAUCUUGCCACGGUUCUUGCCGGCGCGGUGACGAACCCUGACGGCCAUGGUUACUUUCAGGGACCUGCGACGGCGCCGUUAGAGGCAGUGACGGCGUGCACGGGAGCGUUUGGGAAAGGUGCCUAUCCGG